AAGCAAUGGGUUUCGGUGAUUAUCCUAAAGAAUACAAUCCAGCAGUCCACGGGCCAUACGAUCCAGCUCGUUAUUAUGGAAAACGUAAGUAUUGAACUUCAUGUA
This is a long non-coding RNA of Danaus plexippus plexippus, 105 nucleotides long. It matches the Rfam family "Sphinx_ conserved region 1". NCBI's taxonomy places the organism in Eukaryota, Metazoa, Arthropoda, Insecta, Lepidoptera, Nymphalidae. The record is from Rfam.